GAGGGGAGGAUGGUGAUGAUGUGAGAGUGACGUGGAGAGGACCUGGGUGAGGACGGGGGAGGGGCGGCACGCACCUGACUCGGCCACCUCCGCGAUGUCCACGCCCUGCUCCUGCGCCAUGAAGCCCAGGAUGGAGAAGAUGGCGAAGCCGGACACGAAGCUCGUCCCGCUGUUGAGGCACCCGAGCAGGAGGCAGUCCCUGCGAGGCCGGGGCGGGUCAGCCGAGGCCAGCCGGCCUCGCCCUCCUCGGCCAGCCGGCCUCGCCCUCCUCGGCCUCCCUCUCCUUUGAGGCCGAGUCUCGCUCUGUCGCCCGGGCCGGAGUGAGCGCCGUGGCCUCAGCCUCGCCCACAGCGGCCUCCGACUCCUGGCCUCCAGCGAGCCUCCCGCCUCGGCCUCCCUCUCCCGAGUAGCUGGGACUGCAGGCGUGUGACACCACGACACCCGGCUCGUUUUUCUCUACAUAUUUUUAGUCGUCCGGCUCAUUUCUUUCUAUUAUUUUUUUAGCAGAGACGGGGUCUCGCUCUUGCUCGGGCUGGCCUCCACCUCCCGGCCUCCAGCACGAGCCUCCCUCCUCGGCCUCCUCCCGAGCAGCUGGGACGACAGGUGCACGCGAGCCUACUCUCUUUCCCUUCAAACGUCGUCGCCACGGCUACCCUCGGACCCGUUGCCGGGGACAACCCAGGACGUACCCCCCGACACUUGCCUGUACGAGUUGUACUUGUACUUGUUAUAGCUCCCCAGCGAGGUCAUGGCCCCCAGGCAAAUCGCGUAGGAGAAGAAGAUCUGGGUCCCCGCGUCGAUCCACACCUGGCCCGGCCGGGCAGGUAAGCAACAAGGGGACAGAGAGAGACAGAGAGAGAGAAAAAAAAAAGGGCAAUCAGGGUGGACUCCCUGGAGGAGGAGGCGGCGGCCUCAGUUCUCGGCCGCGUGGAAUCCCGUUUCCCCCAAAUCGUGGGGGACUUCGCGAGGAGGCCAUGCCGGGAGGCCCGGGACCAAGAACCCACCCCCCCGGUCAGGUAUGGGGGGGCGUUUGAGGCAGAAGAUUCCGGAUUGCAGACCCACCCCCUCCCCCGCCCAACGAGGGGUCUCAUCGGGUUACAAAGUAUCGAAGAUGGUUCGAUCGUUUGGCAACAAAGUAUCGAAGAUGGUUUGAUCGUUUGGCAACAAAAUAUUCGAUCGUUUGGAAACAAAGUAUCGAAGAUGGUUCGACAGUUUCGCAACAAAAUAUUCGAUCGUUUGGCAACAAAGUAUCGAAGAUGGUUUGAUCGUUUGGCAACAAAAUAUUCGAUCGUUUGGAAACAAAGUAUCGAAGAUGGUUCGAUCGUUUGGCAACAAAGUAUCAAAGAUAGUUCGAUAGUUUGGCAACAAAGUAUUCAAUCGUUUGGCAACAAAGUAUCGAAGAUAGUUCAAUAGUUUGGCAACAAAAUAUUCGAUCGUUUGGCAACAAAGUUUCAAAGAUAGUUCAAUAGUUUGGCAACAAAGUAUCGAAGAUAGUUCGAUCGUUUGGCAACAAAGUAUCGAAGAUAGUUCGACAGUUUCGCAACAAACUAUUCGAUCGUUUGGAAACAAAGUAUCGAAGAUGGUUCGAUAAUUUGGCAACAAAGUAUUCUAUAGUUUGGCAACAAAGUGUCGACGAUAAUUCGAUAGUUUCCCAAUAAAGUAUUCGAUCGUUUGGCAAAAAAGUAUCGGACGUAGUUUUAUGGUUUGGCAACAAAGUAUCGAACAUGGAUUGAGAUCGUUCGGCAAUAAAGUAUCGAACAUAGUUCGGUAGUUUGGCAAUGAAGUAUCGAAGAUAGUUCGAUCGUUCGUCAACAAAAUAUUCAACAGUUUGGCAACAAAGUGUCGACGAUAAUUCGGUAGUUUCCCAAUAAAGUGUUUGAUCGUUUGGCAAAAAAGUAUCGAACAUAGUUUGAUAGUCUGGCAACAAAGUAUCGAAGAUAGUUCGAUCGUUUGGCAACAAAGUAUCAAAAAUGGUUCGAUUGUUUGGCAACAAAGUGUCGACGAUAAUUCGAUAGUUUCCCAAUAAAGUAUUGGAUCGUUUGGCAAAAAAGUAUCGGACAUAGUUUUAUAGUUUGGCAACAAAGUACCAAUGAUAGUUUGAUAGCUUUGCAAUAAAGUAUACGAUCGUUUGGCAACAAACUAUCGAAGAUAGUUUGAUAGCUUGGCAACAAAAUAUUCGAUAGUUUGGCGACAAAGUAUCGACGAUAGUUCGAUCGUUUGGCAACAAAAUAUCGAAGAUGGUUCGAUAGUUUGGCGACAAAGUGUCGACGAUAAUUCGAUACUUCCCCAAUAAAGUAUUCGAUCGUUUGGCAACAAAGUAUCGGACGUAGUUUUAUAGUUUGGCAACAAAGUAUCGAAAACAGUUCGGUAGUCUGGCAACAAAGUAUCGACAAUAAUUUGAUACUUUCCCCAUAAAGUAUUAGAUCGUUUGGCAAAAAAGUAUCGAACACAGUUUUAUAGUUUGGCGACAAAGUAUCGAAGAUAGUUCGAUCGUUUGGCAACAAAAUAUUCGAUAUUUUGGCAACAACAUAUGGAAGACAGUUCGAUAGUUUGGCAACAAAGUAUCGAAGAUGAUUCGAUAGUUUGGUGACAAAGGGUCGACGAUAAUUCGAUAGUUUCCCAAUAAAGUAUUCGAUCGUUUGGCAAAAAAGUAUCGGACGUAGUUUUACAGUUUGGCAACAAAGUAUUUAUGAUAGUCCGAUAGUUUCGCAACAAAAUAUUCGAUCGUUUGGCAACAAAAUAUUGAAGAUGGUUCGAUAGUUUGGUGACAAAGUAUCGACGAUAAUUUGAUAGUUUCCCAAUAAAGUAUUUGAUCGUUUGGCAAAAAAGUAUCAAACGUAGUUUUAUAGUUUGGCAACAAAGUAUCGACGAUAGUUUGAUCGUUUGGCAACAAAGUAUCAAUGACAGUUUGAUUGUUUGGUGACAAAGUAUUCUAUACUUUGGCCACAAAGUGUCGAUGAUAAUUUGAUAGUUUGGCAACAAAAUAUUCGAUCGUUUGGCAACAAAGUAUCGGACGUAGUUUUAUAGUUUGGCAACAAAGUAUCGAAGAUGGUUUGGUAGUUUGGCAACAAAAUAUUCGAUAUUUUGGCAACAACAUAUGGAAUAUAGUUCGAUAGUUUGGUGACAAAGUAUCAACGAUAAUCCGAUAGUUUCCCAAUAAAGUAUUCGAUCUUUUGUCAAAAAAUUAUCGAACUUAGUUUUAUACUUUGGCAACAAAGUAUCAAUGAUAGUUUGAUAGUUUCGCAACAAAGUAUUCGAUCGUUCGGCAACAAAGUAUCAAAGACAGUUUGAUAGUUUGGCAACAAAGUAUCGAAGAUAAUUUCAUAGUUUCCCAAUAAAGUAUUCGAUCGUUUGGCAAAAAAGUGCCGAACAUAGUUUUAUAGUUUGGCAACAAAGUAUUAAUGAUAGUUCGAUAGUUUCGCAACAAAGUAUUUGAUCGUCUGGCGACAAAGUAUCGAAGAUAGUUCGAUAUUUUGGCAACAAAAUAUUCGAUAGUUUGGCAACAAAGUAUUCUAUAGUUGACAACAAAAUAUCGACGACAAUUUGACAGUUUCCCAAUAAAGUAUUUGAUCAUUUGGCAAAAAAGUAUCGAACGUAGUUUUAAAGUUUGGCAAGAAAGUAUUGAAGAUGGUUCGAUAGUUCCGCAACAAAAUAUUCGAUCGUUUGGAAACAAAGUAUUGAAGAUGGUUCGAUCGUUUGGCAACAAAGUAUCGAAGAUAGUUCGGUAGUUUGGCAACAAAGUAUCGACGAUAAUUUGAUAGUUUCCCAAUAAAAUAUUCGAUCGUUUGGCAAAAAAGUAUCGAGUGUAGUUUUAUAGUUUGGCAACAAAGUAUCGAAAGUAGUUCGAUAGUUUCGCAACAAAGUAUUCGAUCGUGUGGCAACAAAGUAUCGACAAUAAUUCGAUAGUUUCCCAAUAAAGGGUCGACGAUAAUUCGAUAGUUUCCCAAUAAAGUAUUCGAUCGUUUGGCAAAAAAGUAUCGGACGUAGUUUUACAGUUUGGCAACAAAGUAUUUAUGAUAGUCCGAUAGUUUCGCAACAAAAUAUUCGAUCGUUUGGCAACAAAGUAUCAAAGAUGGUUCGAUCGUUUGGCAACAAAGUAUCGACGAUAAUUUGAUAGUUUCCCAAUAAAGUAUCUGAUCGUUUGGCAAAAAAGUAUCAAACGUAGUUUUAAAGUUUGGCAACAAAGUAUCGACGAUAGUUCGAUCGUUUGGCAACAAAGUAUCAAUGACAGUUUGAUUGUUUGGUGACAAAGUAUUCUAUACUUUGGCCACAAAGUGUCGAUGAUAAUUCGAUAGUUCGGCAACAAAAUAUUCGAUCGUUUGGCAACAAAGUAUCGGACGUAGUUUUAUAGUUUGGCAACAAAGUAUCGAAGAUGGUUUGGCAGUUUGGCAACAAAAUAUUCGAUAUUUUGGCAACAACAUAUGGAAUAUAGUUCGAUAGUUUGGUGACAAAGUAUCAACGAUAAUCCGAUAGUUUCCCAAUAAAGUAUUCGAUCUUUUGUCAAAAAAUUAUCGAACUUAGUUUUAUACUUUGGCAACAAAGUAUCAAUGAUAGUUUGAUAGUUUCACAACAAAGUAUUCGAUCGUUCGGCAACUAAGUAUCAAAGACAGUUUGAUAGUUUGGCAACAAAGUAUCGAAGAUAAUUUCAUAGUUUCCCAAUAAAGUAUUCGAUCGUUUGGCAAAAAAGUGUCGAACAUAGUUUUAUAGUUUGGCAACAAAGUACCGAAGAUAGUUCUGUAGUUUCGCAACAAAGUAUUUGAUCGUCUGGCAACAAAGUAUCGAAGAUAGUUCGAUAUUUUGGCAACAAAAUAUUCGAUAGUUUGGCAACAACGUAUUCUAUAGUUGACAACAAAAUAUCGACGACAAUUUGACAGUUUCCCAAUAAAGUAUUUGAUCAUUUGGCAAAAAAGUAUCGAACGUAGUUUUAAAGUUUGGCAAGAAAGUAUUGAAGAUGGUUCGAUAGUUCCGC
Molecule: long non-coding RNA, 4969 nt
Filed under: Microcebus murinus (gray mouse lemur)
Lineage: Eukaryota; Metazoa; Chordata; Mammalia; Primates; Cheirogaleidae
Description: lncRNA (ENSMICG00000048406.1)
Source: RNAcentral